Molecule: ribosomal RNA, 468 nt
Filed under: uncultured bacterium
Lineage: Bacteria
Description: partial 16S ribosomal RNA
Rfam family: Bacterial small subunit ribosomal RNA
Source: RNAcentral
GAUGAACGCUGGCGGCGUGCCUAACACAUGCAAGUCGAACGGAAAGGCCCUGCUUUUGUGGGGUGCUCGAGUGGCGAACGGGUGAGUAACACGUGAGUAACCUGCCCUUGACUUUGGGAUAACUUCAGGAAACUGGGGCUAAUACCGGAUAGGAGCUCCUGCUGCAUGGUGGGGGUUGGAAAGUUUCGGCGGUUGGGGAUGGACUCGCGGCUUAUCAGCUUGUUGGUGGGGUAGUGGCUUACCAAGGCUUUGGCGGGUAGCCGGCCUGAGAGGGUGACCGGCCACAUUGGGACUGAGGUACGGCCCAGACUCCUACGGGAGGCAGCAGUGGGAAAUAUUGCACAAUGGGCGGAAGCCUGAUGCAGCAGCGCCGCGUGCGUGAUGACGGCCUUCGGGUUGAAAACCGCUUUCGCUUGUGACGAAGCGUGAGUGACGGUAAUGGGUAAAGAAGCACCGGCUAACUACGUG